AUACUGAAAGUUAACUGCUGUAGUAUAGGUAUAAUAAUAACAUAAUGGUAUAUUUACUCAGCCAUGAAGAUGGAGAGGACAACGAAGAGCAGGUGAAAGAGAAUGACAAAGCAGGUGAAGAGAACAGCCAUGAAGAUGAAGAGUACAGAAAGAGAAGUACAGAAGAGUACAAAAGCAAAUGAGUCAAGAGCAGGUGAAGAGAACAGUUGUGAAGAUGAAGGGCAGAGAAAGAAAGUAAAUGUAUCCAGUGCAAGUGAAGAGAACAGUGCAGGGAAAGAUGGAGAGCCACAUCUUCAGGAUGACAUCAGAAGAGAGGAGUUAGAUGGAGAAUGCAGAGAUGCAACAGAGGAGGAAGCGGAGGAAAGACCUUACCCAGAGGACCCAUCGGACUGGCCUUCACCCCAUCAAAUUACUGACACUUUUAGGCAAAACAUGACUGAGAGAGGGCCUUUGAAAUGUCCUGAUGGGCCAUAUCCUAGAUCCGAGGUGAGUAACAGGCGAUUUUCAAAGGCCUACUGUUAUUGCUUAUUAUCAAAUGGGGAGAGAAUUGAG
This 552-nucleotide long non-coding RNA is filed under the name Sinocyclocheilus anshuiensis. RNAcentral describes it as "lncRNA (ENSSANG00000006153.1)". The record is from RNAcentral. Lineage: Eukaryota; Metazoa; Chordata; Actinopteri; Cypriniformes; Cyprinidae.